Molecule: ribosomal RNA, 504 nt
Filed under: uncultured bacterium
Lineage: Bacteria
Description: partial 16S ribosomal RNA
Rfam family: Bacterial small subunit ribosomal RNA
Source: RNAcentral
AUUGAACGCUGGCGGCACGCCUAACACAUGCAAGUCGAGCGGUAACAUGGUCUGUAGCAAUACAGAUUGAUGACGAGCGGCGGACGGGUGAGGAACACGUAGGAACCUGCCCUCAAGCGGGGGAUAACCAAGGGAAACUUUGGCUAAUACCGCAUAAUCCCGAGAGAGAAAAGAUACCCGCAAGGGCGGCACUUGAGGAGGGGCCUGCGUCCGAUUAGCUAGUUGGUGAGGUAACGGCUCACCAAGGCGAUGAUCGGUAACUGGUCUGAGAGGACGACCAGUCACACUGGGACUGAGACACGGCCCAGACUCCUACGGGAGGCAGCAGUGGGGAAUAUUGGACAAUGGGGGCAACCCUGAUCCAGCGAUGCCGCGUGAGUGAAGAAGGCCCUCGGGUCGUAAAGCUCUUUAGGUUGGGAAGAAGGUCAUAUGGUGCAUAGCCAUGUGAUUUGACGGUACCGACAGAAUAAGCACCGGCAAACUCUGUGCCAGCAGCCGCAGUAA